This 253-nucleotide ribosomal RNA is filed under the name uncultured bacterium. RNAcentral's name for it is "partial 16S ribosomal RNA". It matches the Rfam family "Bacterial small subunit ribosomal RNA", at positions 524 to 776 of the family's 1533-position model. The record is from RNAcentral.
UACGAAGGGGGCUAGCGUUGCUCGGAAUUACUGGGCGUAAAGGGAGCGUAGGCGGAUAGUUUAGUCAGAGGUGAAAUCCCGGGGCUCAACCUCGGAACUGCCUUUGAUACUGGCUGUCUUGAGUAUGGGAGAGGUGUGUGGAACUCCGAGUGUAGAGGUGAAAUUCGUAGAUAUUCGGAAGAACACCAGUGGCGAAGGCGACACACUGGCCCAUUACUGACGCUGAGGCUCGAAAGCGUGGGGAGCAAACAGG